RNAcentral lists this ribosomal RNA (1372 nucleotides) under uncultured bacterium. RNAcentral describes it as "bacterial SSU rRNA". It matches the Rfam family "Bacterial small subunit ribosomal RNA", at positions 28 to 1381 of the family's 1533-position model. The record is from RNAcentral.
GAUGAACGCUGGCGGCGUGCCUAAUACAUGCAAGUCGAGCGAACAGACGAGGAGCUUGCUCCUUUGACGUUAGCGGCGGACGGGUGAGUAACACGUGGGUAACCUACCUAUAAGACUGGGAUAACUUCGGGAAACCGGAGCUAAUACCGGAUAAUAUUUCGAACCGCAUGGUUCGAUAGUGAAAGAUGGCUUUGCUAUCACUUAUAGAUGGACCUGCGCCGUAUUAGCUAGUUGGUAAGGUAACGGCUUACCAAGGCAACGAUACGUAGCCGACCUGAGAGGGUGAUCGGCCACACUGGAACUGAGACACGGUCCAGACUCCUACGGGAGGCAGCAGUAGGGAAUCUUCCGCAAUGGGCGAAAGCCUGACGGAGCAACGCCGCGUGAGUGAUGAAGGUCUUCGGAUCGUAAAACUCUGUUAUUAGGGAAGAACAAACGUGUAAGUAACUGUGCACGUCUUGACGGUACCUAAUCAGAAAGCCACGGCUAACUACGUGCCAGCAGCCGCGGUAAUACGUAGGUGGCAAGCGUUAUCCGGAAUUAUUGGGCGUAAAGCGCGCGUAGGCGGUUUUUUAAGUCUGAUGUGAAAGCCCACGGCUCAACCGUGGAGGGUCAUUGGAAACUGGAAAACUUGAGUGCAGAAGAGGAAAGUGGAAUUCCAUGUGUAGCGGUGAAAUGCGCAGAGAUAUGGAGGAACACCAGUGGCGAAGGCGACUUUCUGGUCUGUAACUGACGCUGAUGUGCGAAAGCGUGGGGAUCAAACAGGAUUAGAUACCCUGGUAGUCCACGCCGUAAACGAUGAGUGCUAAGUGUUAGGGGGUUUCCGCCCCUUAGUGCUGCAGCUAACGCAUUAAGCACUCCGCCUGGGGAGUACGACCGCAAGGUUGGAACUCAAAGGAAUUGACGGGGACCCGCACAAGCGGUGGAGCAUGUGGUUUAAUUCGAAGCAACGCGAAGAACCUUACCAAAUCUUGACAUCCUUUGACCCUUCUAGAGAUAGAAGUUUCCCCUUCGGGGGACAAAGUGACAGGUGGUGCAUGGUUGUCGUCAGCUUGUGUCGUGAGAUGUUGGGUUAAGUCCCGCAACGAGCGCAACCCUUAAGCUUAGUUGCCAUCAUUAAGUUGGGCACUCUAAGUUGACUGCCGGUGACAAACCGGAGGAAGGUGGGGAUGACGUCAAAUCAUCAUGCCCCUUAUGAUUUGGGCUACACACGUGCUACAAUGGACAAUACAAAGGGCAGCGAAACCGCGAGGUCAAGCAAAUCCCAUAAAGUUGUUCUCAGUUCGGAUUGUAGUCUGCAACUCGACUACAUGAAGCUGGAAUCGCUAGUAAUCGUAGAUCAGCAUGCUACGGUGAAUACGUUCCCGGGUCU